AUGUACAUGCCAGACUUGGGAGGUAGGGAGGCAGAACAAGUGUGCAGACAGGAGCUGCCACAUUCUGGAUACUUCUCACCUCCUGGGUCAACCCUGUGUGAGACCCAGCUGCACUCCUGCCCUUGGAGUCCAGGAAGUAGCUCUGUUUUUUAUAAUAAAUUCCCCUUUUCUUGUUCCCAUCAGUCCCAGUGGACAUCUGCUCUUUGCAACUGUGAAUCCUUACAAAUGCCAGCACGCAGCAGGAAGGAGACUCCUGGCAGCCCCUGCUCCCCUGCUCUUCACGGUCUCAGGUUUGCCAAACACCUUCCCUCCCAAGCAUGCUCUCAGCCUGAGAAGGUGAAAUGCAGCGCCUGUGCACACUGCCAGGUCCCAGUACAGAAGCAGAAUGGUGCUGCUCUCCUCCUGUGCUUUGACCUGGGCAGCGGUCACUUGGGUCUUUGGAAAUAUUGUUAUGAAAAAUUCAUGCAUAUCUUGGCUUAUGCAGCAAGCAGCUUCCUCAAAACUGUGUGUGAAUCACAUUUUUAAAAAUUGAGUCUUAUUUCCCCACUGACUGUGGCUAUCUGCGUACACCCUUCCUCUCUGAUUUAUCUCCAGUUGGCAGCAGCACACUAUAACCCUGGCCUCACAUUUCCCUUCUUCCCAAGUGGCUCAUCAGUCAAUCAACAGAAUUUCCACUCAGAGCCCAUUAUGUGUAAGACACUGUUCAUGAUCUGUAGAGAGAGCAGGGGAUGCAUCGCGUGCACCAGGGGAAGCCGCUAUCUGUGCGUCCUCAGUGAAGCCCCAUGAAUGGCCGACCUCUUCUUUAUCUCUUCUGUAAAUUCAGAUUUUCCUCUAUCAGGUUUCCCAAAAGAGGUGCCCUUGUGUACUGAGCAGCCUAUCUAGGUUCCCAGAGAAAUGGGGCAUCAUAAAAGGAUGUUCAGAAACAGAAGCGCCUCUAUAAAUCCUCAAUAAUAGCCACCGCAAUUGUUUGGUACAAUCAUUGAGACCAUUCAUGGUGUGUUCCAAGGCAAAAGCACAAAUAACUCACCAAUCUGUGACCCCUGGCAAAGCACAUGCAAACUAAGAAAAAGUUAAUGAUAGCGUUAAAAACAAGUCAUGUCAGGCCAUCCUAUUUUUCCUUUGUGCCAGCAGAGACUCCCACUACCAAAGGGUCCCAAGUCAACCCUCACAUCUCAGGGAGCUGGCCUUCUCCCAGGCCCUAUCCUGUUGGCUGUGGCACCCAAGAGACAUCAUGGCCUCCCUCAGCAGCUCCUACC
RNAcentral lists this long non-coding RNA (1256 nucleotides) under Oryctolagus cuniculus (rabbit). RNAcentral's name for it is "lncRNA (ENSOCUG00000032054.1)". Lineage: Eukaryota; Metazoa; Chordata; Mammalia; Lagomorpha; Leporidae. The record is from RNAcentral.